RNAcentral lists this ribosomal RNA (467 nucleotides) under uncultured bacterium. RNAcentral describes it as "partial 16S ribosomal RNA". It matches the Rfam family "Bacterial small subunit ribosomal RNA", at positions 28 to 507 of the family's 1533-position model. The record is from RNAcentral.
GACGAACGCUGGCGGCGUGCUUAACACAUGCAAGUCGAACGGAAAGGCCUCUUUCGGGGGGUCCUCGAGUGGCGAACGGGUGAGUAACACGUGAGUAACCUGCCCUUGACUUUGUGAUAACUUCAGGAAACUGGGGCCAAUACCUGAUACGAGCUCCUGCUUCCUGGUGGGGGUUGGAAAGUUUCGGCGGUUGGGGGUGGACUCGCGGCUUAACGGCUUAUUGUGGGGGUAGUGGCUUACCAAGGCCUUGACGGGUAGCCGGCCAGAGGGGGUGAGCGGCCACAGUGGGACUUAGGUACGGCCCAGACUCCGACGGGUGGAAGAAGGGGGGAAGAUUGCACAAGGGGUAGAGGCCUGAUGCAGAAGCGCCGUGUGCGGGAGGACGGCCUUCGGGUUGUAAACCGCUUUCGCUCAUGACGAAGCUUUGUGUGACGGUAGUGAAUAAAGAAGCACCGGCUAACUACGUG